GCAUAUCAAUAAGCGGAGGAAAAGAAACCAACAGGGAUUGCCUCAGUAACGGCGAGUGAAGCGGCAUCAGCUCAAAUUUGAAAUCUGGCCUCACGGUCCGAGUUGUAAUUUGUAGAGAAUGCUUCGGGCGAGGUCCGGUCUAAGUUCCUUGGAACAGGACGUCAUAGAGGGUGAGAAUCCCGUAUGCGACCGGUCGCCUCCGCCCAUGUGAAGCUUCUUCGACGAGUCGAGUUGUUUGGGAAUGCAGCUCAAAAUGGGUGGUAUAUUUCAUCUAAAGCUAAAUACUGGCCAGAGACCGAUAGCGCACAAGUAGAGUGAUCGAAAGAUGAAAAGCACUUUGGAAAGAGAGUUAAACAGUACGUGAAAUUGUUGAAAGGGAAGCGCUUGCAACCAGACUUGCGCGCAGCUGAUCAUCCGGUGUUCUCACCGGUGCACUCGGUUGCGCUCAGGCCAGCAUCGGUUCUGGCGGCUGGAUAAAGGCCUUGGGAAUGUAGCUCCCCUCGGGGAGUGUUAUAGCCCUCGGUGCAAUGCAGCCUGUCGGGACCGAGGACCGCGCUUCGGCUAGGAUGCUGGCGUAAUGGUUGUAAGCGACCCGUCUUGAAACACGGACCAAGGAGUCUAACAUCUAUGCGAGUGUUUGGGCGUCAAACCCAUACGCGUAAUGAAAGUGAACGGAGGUGAGAACCCUUAAGGGUGCAUCAUCGACCGAUCCUGAUGUCUUCGGAUGGAUUUGAGUAAGAGCAUAGCUGUUGGGACCCGAAAGAUGGUGAACUAUGCCUGAAUAGGGUGAAGCCAGAGGAAACUCUGGUGGAGGCUCGCAGCGGUUCUGACGUGCAAAUCGAUCGUCAAAUUUGGGUAUAGGGGCGAAAGACUAAUCGAACCAUUGCUAGGUGGUUGAGUGGGACGGAUACGUCCCCAGCCGCUACGUGCGGCGACUCGGUCAAACUGCUCGGGCACACGUUCUUCGUGUGACGAGAAGCAGCUCCUCGGAGCUGUUCACAGGUCAAGCGACUGGGGCCCUCUUGGAGGGUUAUGAAAUGAUCGGUCCGCUGCCGCGAGGCGACGGAGCAAACGCUAGUAGC
RNAcentral lists this ribosomal RNA (1082 nucleotides) under Tympanis hansbroughiana. RNAcentral describes it as "LSU rRNA". It matches the Rfam family "Eukaryotic large subunit ribosomal RNA", at positions 38 to 1416 of the family's 3401-position model. The record is from RNAcentral. Lineage: Eukaryota; Fungi; Ascomycota; Leotiomycetes; Leotiales; Tympanidaceae.